GGCGAAGGAUGCAAGCGUUAUCCGGAUUCAUUGGGUUUAAAGGGAGCGUAGGUGGCCUUAUAAGUCAGUGGUGAAAUCUCUGGGCUUAACCCAGAAAUUGCCAUUGAUACUGUUGGGCUUGAGUAUAGUUGCCGUUGGCGGAAUAUGACAUGUAGUGGUGAAAUACAUAGAGAUGUCAUAGAACACCGAUUGCGAAGGCAGCUGACGAAACUAUAACUGACACUGAGGCUCGAAAGUGCGGGGAUCAAACAGG
This 253-nucleotide ribosomal RNA is filed under the name uncultured bacterium. RNAcentral's name for it is "partial 16S ribosomal RNA". It matches the Rfam family "Bacterial small subunit ribosomal RNA", at positions 524 to 776 of the family's 1533-position model. The record is from RNAcentral.